GCGAGCGUUGUCCGGAAUUACUGGGCGUAAAGGGUGCGUAGGCGGCCCUUUAAGUCAGUGUGAAAGCCCGCGGCUUAACCGCGGAAUGGCAUUUGAAACUGGAGGGCUUGAGUGUCGGAGAGGGUAGUGGAAUUCCCAGUGUAGCGGUGAAAUGCGUAGAUAUUGGGAGGAACACCAGUGGCGAAGGCGACUACCUGGACGAUAACUGACGCUGAGGCACGAAAGCUAGGGGAGCAAACAGGAUUAGAUACCCUGGUAGUCCUAGCCGUAAACGAUGGGUACUAGGUGUNGGNGGUUUCGAUACCNUCCGUGCNGCUAGCNAACGC
RNAcentral lists this ribosomal RNA (326 nucleotides) under uncultured bacterium. RNAcentral's name for it is "bacterial SSU rRNA". It matches the Rfam family "Bacterial small subunit ribosomal RNA", at positions 534 to 858 of the family's 1533-position model. The record is from RNAcentral.